RNAcentral lists this ribosomal RNA (460 nucleotides) under uncultured bacterium. Its description in RNAcentral is "partial 16S ribosomal RNA". It matches the Rfam family "Bacterial small subunit ribosomal RNA", at positions 338 to 795 of the family's 1533-position model. The record is from RNAcentral.
CCUACGGGAGGCAGCAGUGAGGAAUAUUGGUCAAUGGACGAGAGUCUGAACCAGCCAAGUAGCGUGAAGGAUGACUGCCCUAUGGGUUGUAAACUUCUUUUAUAAAGGAACAAAACGAUGCACGUGUGCCUUUUUGCAUGUACUUUAUGAAUAAGGAUCGGCUGACUCCGUGCCAGCAGCCGCGGUUAUUCAGAGGAUCCGAGCGUUAUCCGGGUUUAAUGGGUUUAAAGGGAGCGUAGAUGGGUUGUUAAGUCAGUUGUGAAAGUUUGCGGCUCAACCGUAAAAUUGCACUUGAUACUGGCAGUCUUGAGUACAGUUGAGGUAAGCGGAAUUCGUGGUGUAGCGGUGAAAUGCAUAGAUAUCACGAAGAACCCCGAUUGCGAAGGCAGCUUACUAAACUGUGACUGACAUUGAUGCACGAAAGUGUGGGUAUCAAACAGGAUUAGAUACCCGUGUAGUC